Molecule: ribosomal RNA, 468 nt
Filed under: uncultured bacterium
Lineage: Bacteria
Description: partial 16S ribosomal RNA
Rfam family: Bacterial small subunit ribosomal RNA
Source: RNAcentral
GACGAACGCUGGCGGCGUGCUUAACACAUGCAAGUCGAACGGAAAGGCCCUGCUUUUGUGGGGUGCUCGAGUGGCGAACGGGUGAGUAACACGUGAGUAACCUGCCCUUGACUUUGGGAUAACUUCAGGAAACUGGGGCUAAUACCGGAUAGGAGCUCCUGCUGCAUGGUGGGGGUUGGAAAGUUUCGGCGGUUGGGGAUGGACUCGCGGCUUAUCAGCUUGUUGGUGGGGUAGUGGCUUACCAAGGCUUUGACGGGUAGCCGGCCUGAGAGGGUGACCGGCCACAUUGGGACUGAGAUAAGGCCCAGACUCCUACGGGAGGCAGCAGUGGGGAAUAUUGCACAAUGGGAGGAAGCCUGAUGCAGCAACGCCGCGUGCGGGAUGACGGCCUUCGGGUUGUAAACCGCUUUCGCCUGUGACGAAGCGUGAGUGACGGUAAUGGGUAAAGAAGCACCGGCUAACUACGUG